AACUUUCAACAACGGAUCUCUUGGCUCUGGCAUCGAUGAAGAACGCAGCGAAAUGCGAUACGUAAUGUGAAUUGCAGAAUUCAGCGAACCAUCGAAUCUUUGAACGCACAUUGCGCCCGCCAGUAUUCUGGCGGGCAUGCCUGUCCGAGCGUCA
This 154-nucleotide ribosomal RNA is filed under the name Sporothrix dentifunda. RNAcentral's name for it is "5.8S ribosomal RNA". It matches the Rfam family "5.8S ribosomal RNA". Rfam says of the family: 5.8S ribosomal RNA (5.8S rRNA) is a component of the large subunit of the eukaryotic ribosome. RNAcentral also lists the same sequence under 9 other names. The record is from RNAcentral. Lineage: Eukaryota; Fungi; Ascomycota; Sordariomycetes; Ophiostomatales; Ophiostomataceae.